RNAcentral lists this ribosomal RNA (1233 nucleotides) under metagenome. RNAcentral describes it as "SSU rRNA". It matches the Rfam family "Eukaryotic small subunit ribosomal RNA", at positions 523 to 1801 of the family's 1831-position model. The record is from RNAcentral.
AUUUAAAUCACUUAACGAGGAUCAAUUGGAGGGCAAGUCUGGUGCCAGCAGCCGCGGUAAUUCCAGCUCCAAUAGUGUAUAUUAAAGUUGUUGCAGUUAAAAAGCUCGUAGUUGUACUUCUGACAGUGUGCAGUUUUGGUUUCUAUCAGGCUGCAUUGCUGUCAUCCGUCUGCAAACUCUGUUCAAUCUUCGCUGGUUGGCAGGGGGAGUAGACAUUUUACUUUGAAAAAAUUAGAGUGUUUCAAGCAGGUUAUUGCCAGAAUACUUUAGCAUGGAAUAAUGGAAUAGGACUCUUGUCCAUUUGGUUGGUUAUUGGACCAGAGUAAUGAUUAACAGGGACAGUUGGGGGCAUUAGUAUUUAAUUGUCAGAGGUGAAAUUCAUGGAUUUAUUAAAGACUAACUUAUGCGAAAGCAUUUGCCAAGGAUGUUUUCAUUAAUCAAGAACGAAAGUUAGGGGAUCAAAGACGAUCAGAUACCGUCCUAGUCUUAACUAUAAACGAUGUCGACUCGGGAUUGGAAAGGUUUCCAAUUAUCCUUUCCAGCACCGUAUGAGAAAUCAUUAAGUCUUUGGAUUCUGGGGGGAGUAUGGUCGCAAGGCUGAAACUUAAAGGAAUUGACGGAAGAGCACCACCAGGCGUGGGACCUGCGGCUUAAUUUGACCCAACACGGGAAAACUUAUUUCAGCAAAACAUGAGUGGGAUUGACAGAUUGAGAGCUCUUUCUUGAUUUUAUGGGGUGUGGUGCAUGGCCGUUCUUAGUUGGUGGGGUGAUUUGUCUGGUUAAUUCCGUUAACGAACGAGACCUUAACCUGCUAACUAGUCAGUGUGUUAACCUACGCUCUGUACUUCUUAGAGGGACUAUGGGUAAUAAGCCCAUGGAAGUUUGAGGCAAUAACAGGUCUGUGAUGCCCAUAGAUGUUGAAAGCGGCACGCGCGUCAUACUGUCCAGUAACAGCAAGUUUUACCUCCUCUACCGGAAGGUUAGGGGUAAUCUAUAAAACUGGACGUGGUAGGGAUAGAUCUUUGGAAUUAUAGAUCUUGAACGAAGAAUGCCUAGUAAGUACAAGUCAUCAACUUGUGCUGAUUACGUCCCUGUCCUUUGUACACACCGCCCGUCGCUCCUACCGAUUUCGAGCGAUAUGGUGAAUCUCCUGGACCGUGGGGUCCCUCGUGGGCCUCGUGGAAAGUUUAGUAAACCUUAUCGCUUAGAGGAAGGAAAAGUCGUAACAAGGUA